RNAcentral lists this unclassified non-coding RNA (1250 nucleotides) under Bombus terrestris (buff-tailed bumblebee). Its description in RNAcentral is "misc RNA ENSBTSG00005024720.1". Lineage: Eukaryota; Metazoa; Arthropoda; Insecta; Hymenoptera; Apidae. The record is from RNAcentral.
UUAUAGAUGAAUUUUCAGCAUGUUGCAUAUAAAACGCUUUCUUUAUCGAUAUUUUUGACUUUUUUGCGUGAUUUUUGACCAAGAAUUUAUUAAAGUUCAUUUUAGUUUGUAGUUCAGUUGGUUUGCUUGAGAUCUUUUUACCUAUUUGAUUAGUGUUUUGUUGAUUCAUUUUUUCGUGAAAAAUUUUGAUUUCUGAACUUUUUAUAUCUUCCCCUGCAGCUUUUUGUGACCAUAUUUGAUUAAACUUGUUUAUCAUUCGUCGUUGCAUCAAAAUAACCGCUUCAAAAUGAGGACCAUUAGAAGCCAUCAUCAAUCCAAUGAGACCAAUACCACAUCCUAUUUCAAGUACUGUUGUUUUUGGAGCGCAAGUUGUACUUUUAGGCCCCCAACAAUUUCAUCUAAAGCUUCUGAACCAACUAAAAAUGUUGUAUCCGUGACAGCAGUAUCGUCAUACCUGAUAUUAAAAAAUGUUUCAGGAUCCGUAAGACAAAUGACACUUGGACUAAAAUGUUACGAACGUUGUAUUUGAUAUUGAUAACUGAUUUUAUGAUUCAACAAAUGCAUAUAUAAAAUCAACGCACAAAUGGAAUUAUAUCAAUCUUUUAUCAAAUACUGUAAUGUUAUUGCAUCUUUACGAUAUAUCAUGAACAUUUUACAUACACUAUAAUUUCACAAAGAUAAAUUUCUUACCAUGUACAAAGAUAUACAUGUGUAUGUGUAUACCACUGUAAUGUAAUAUUAUUUCUUCAAAUAUUCUUAUUAUAUUAUAUUCCGUUAGUUGCAAAAGUUUUACAUAAUCCCUUCUUUAUUUCAUCGUACUACCCAAUGCCAAGUAAAAUUUAAUCGCGCGACGGGCAAUGGCGAAUAUGGCGUUCCGAAAACAAUCGACUAUUGUAGAGUGUAGAGUUUAAAAUUCUAGUCCCUUCCAAAUUGUCGUGAUCACAAAUAGUUACCAAUGACUAUUUUUAUAUUCAUUGUAUUGUGACAUUUUUGUGAAUAUAUAUAGCUUCUUGUAUUAUUGUACACACGAUAUUAGGUGAUAUUAGUAAAUUAGCAAAAAAUAUAUGCGUAUAGAAAUGUUACCUAAGAAAAUUUCACUAUAUGAAAUCUUAAAAAAUCCUAAAAUUGUUAAAGUUAGUGAUUCCUACUACGAUCACAUAAACAAAUCUCGACACUCGCUAGGGAAAGUCGUCCCAUAAUUGAGUCGUGACUAGUCAUGAGAAUCAACAUGAAAGACAAUAAAGUUCGCG